Molecule: long non-coding RNA, 270 nt
Filed under: Physcomitrium patens
Lineage: Eukaryota; Viridiplantae; Streptophyta; Bryopsida; Funariales; Funariaceae
Description: long non-coding RNA (PPAT_LNC004555)
Source: RNAcentral
AAGUAUAUCUUAAAUAAAUCUCAACCAAGUCUUAACUUAAUUCUACUUGAAACUCUAAUGGACUUCAAUCAAAACCUAGGCCAAAUCCUAAAUCUUAAACAAACUCUAAAAUCCUAAAUCCUAACCAAAUCUUGACCAAAUCCUAAGCAAAUCUUAAAUCCUAAAUUCUAAAAAAAUCCUAAAUCCUAAAUCCUAACCAAAUCUUAAUCAAAUCCUAAAUCUUAAUCCAGCUCUAAUCCUAAACCAAAUCCAAACCAAAAUAUAACCAAC